Molecule: long non-coding RNA, 332 nt
Filed under: Lathyrus oleraceus (garden pea)
Lineage: Eukaryota; Viridiplantae; Streptophyta; Magnoliopsida; Fabales; Fabaceae
Description: Pisum sativum (pea) long non-coding RNA (PSAT_LNC013344)
Source: RNAcentral
UUUUUGUUCUUUUCUUUCACAUCAUAUUUACAAAACAGAUGUUUCUUUUCUAUAUUUUUAUUUUCAAUGCUUGCUCGGUUUUUCUUUUAUUUUUUUCAAGAGUUGUGGUACUUACCGAUUCUCCCCAACUUAUUUCUUACUCACCCUAAGUGAAUGCUCUUAACUUUUUACGGCAAAAGAACAAUAAUCAAGAUUUUCCGGGUUGUAAAAAAAAGAUUUUUGAAAUCUCGCUUUAUUUCAAGCUGAGAUUCAACUGUUUAAGCUCAAAGGGGUUAACGAAUACUCUCUCUGCUCACAGGUAAGUUGUUUUUGGAUGUAGUUGUGCUCGAAAG